ACAAGAAAGAAGGAGCAUCCCGCUUCUCGCCUCGUGAAAUCUAUUUUUGCAGGCAAAGAAUUGGAAUUAUGGUUCACUUAUGUGAAUUUUCUGAUGUGCGGGUUUGUAACGAAACCGGCGCUUUUUUCAUGCG
Molecule: regulatory RNA element, 133 nt
Organism: Listeriaceae bacterium
Lineage: Bacteria; Bacillati; Bacillota; Bacilli; Caryophanales; Listeriaceae
Rfam family: Ribosomal protein L20 leader
About the family: This family is a putative r-protein leader autoregulatory structure found in B. subtilis and other low-GC Gram-positive bacteria.
Source: Rfam